AUAAACAAUCUAAUGCUUUUUUUGAAAGUUAGAGGCUUUCUUAAAUAUUUCAAU
This 54-nucleotide transfer RNA is filed under the name Libnetis sp. UPOL A00582. RNAcentral's name for it is "partial tRNA-Ser". The record is from RNAcentral. Lineage: Eukaryota; Metazoa; Arthropoda; Insecta; Coleoptera; Lycidae.